UCAAUUCCGACAACUUUGAAUUUUUCCGGCAGCUACAGUGCUUUUCCGGCAGCUACAGUGUUGCUGUUUUCCGGUAGCACCAGUUUUCAGUCCUCUAUUCAGUUUCAGCGAGUUUUCAGUUGAUAAUCCAACGAUGUGUUUGGGACUAGAUGCUUUCGGGCCUAAAAAGCAGGGUUCUGGCAGUUCCGGUAUUAUGAUUACCUCAGAACCUUUACUG
Molecule: long non-coding RNA, 217 nt
Filed under: Nicotiana benthamiana
Lineage: Eukaryota; Viridiplantae; Streptophyta; Magnoliopsida; Solanales; Solanaceae
Description: long non-coding RNA (NBEN_LNC000913)
Source: RNAcentral